RNAcentral lists this non-coding RNA (22 nucleotides) under Arabidopsis thaliana (thale cress). Lineage: Eukaryota; Viridiplantae; Streptophyta; Magnoliopsida; Brassicales; Brassicaceae. The record is from RNAcentral. RNAcentral also lists the same sequence under 2 other names.
UGGUGGAGCGAUUUGUCUGGUU